UCCGAGUUGACCCCGGCAGUCUCCCAUGAGUCCCCAGCCACCCCGAAGGGUGCUGCUGGCAACAUGGAACGAGGGUUGCGCUCGUUGCGGGACUUAACCCAACAUCUCACGACGCGAGCUGACGACAGCCAUGCACCACCUGUACACCGACUAAAAGGGGCUCUAUCUCUAGAGCUUUCCGGCGCAUGGCAAACCCAGGUAAGGUUCUUCGCGUUGCAUCGAAUUAAUCCGCAUGCUCCGCCACUUGUGCGGGCCCCCGUCAAUUCCUUUGAGUUUCAACCUUGCGGCCGUACUCCCCAGGCGGAUUGCUUAAUGCGUUAGCUGCGCCACUGAACAGCAAGCUGCCCAACGGCUAGCAAUCAUCGUUUACGGCGUGGACUAC
RNAcentral lists this unclassified non-coding RNA (382 nucleotides) under uncultured Propionibacteriales bacterium. Its description in RNAcentral is "contains 16S-23S intergenic spacer region". The record is from RNAcentral. Lineage: Bacteria; Bacillati; Actinomycetota; Actinomycetes; Propionibacteriales.